Molecule: long non-coding RNA, 206 nt
Organism: Nicotiana attenuata
Lineage: Eukaryota; Viridiplantae; Streptophyta; Magnoliopsida; Solanales; Solanaceae
Exons: 3
Source: RefSeq, a predicted model, not a curated record
GCUGAGUGGGGUAGAUAUUUCCCUGGCCCGUCUACCACUGAUGAGGGUCGACCGACCCGAGAUUUAUUUAGUGGGCACCGACUGAGUUAUGGCAGCUCUUCACAUGCGCAGGCUUCAUGUGAUGCUGCGACAGAUGACUACAUUCAGGAUCCAGACACGAUUAUGCAUUCUACUGGACCUGACAGCACCAUCGAUACAUGUCAUCC